RNAcentral lists this ribosomal RNA (254 nucleotides) under uncultured bacterium. RNAcentral's name for it is "partial 16S ribosomal RNA". It matches the Rfam family "Bacterial small subunit ribosomal RNA", at positions 524 to 776 of the family's 1533-position model. The record is from RNAcentral.
UACGGAGGGUGCGAGCGUUGUCCGGAAUUAUUGGGCGUAAAGAGCUCGUAGGCGGUGUGUCGCGUCGGCCGUGAAAACCUGCAGCUUAACUGUGGGCUUGCGGUCGAUACGGGCAUCACUGGAGUUCGGCAGGGGAGACUGGAAUUCCCGGUGUAGCGGUGAAAUGCGCAGAUAUCGGGAGGAACACCGGUGGCGAAGGCGGUUCUCUGGGCCUUACCUGACGCUGAGGAGCGAAAGCGUGGGGAGCGAACAGG